RNAcentral lists this ribosomal RNA (118 nucleotides) under Ipomoea nil (Japanese morning glory). The record is from RNAcentral. Lineage: Eukaryota; Viridiplantae; Streptophyta; Magnoliopsida; Solanales; Convolvulaceae.
AUGCGAUCAUACCACACUAAUGCACCGGGCAUCCAUCAGAAUCCGAAUGUUAAGCGUGCUUGGCGCAGAGUAAGUACUUAGGAUGGGUGACCCGUGGGAAGUCCUGCUGUUGCAUCCC